RNAcentral lists this long non-coding RNA (532 nucleotides) under Homo sapiens (human). RNAcentral's name for it is "HSALNT0196401". Lineage: Eukaryota; Metazoa; Chordata; Mammalia; Primates; Hominidae. The record is from RNAcentral.
AUUCCUCAACAGAGAGUGGGUGGCAGCCUCGUACCAUACCUUGCAUUGCUGGGAGGGUCAUACUGCAAAACCCAGUUGACUUCAGGAAUAUCAAUUCCCCGGGCCAUCACAUCAGUGCACACUAAAAUCCCACUAGGAAAUGAGAAAAAAGCAUUCUGAGUAAGGAGGCCACCAUCUUCAUCACCAUCAAACAGCCUACUGAUCUCGAUGACAGUGACACACAGGUGCUGGAGCUUCUCACAGAAGCAAAUGUUUAAGAUCAACACAUUUAUCUCUGGAGAAAAGGGGAAAAGAACCAACCAGUCCAAAGAACAUAUGCAUCUGUCCCUACGCUGCCUUCUGACCACAGGACAAAACCCCACUGUGGCGGACUCCAUGGGUGGCUGAUAAACACUAUUCCCAACCACUUCUUGCUUCACUGGCCACUACUACAGAGGCAGAAAAGCUGCGCACUCAUUUUCUCUGCUGCUCUUGAAGUGAGGGGCCACCACGUGACCCACUUUUGGCCCCUAAGAUGAAUUCACAGCUGAAG